UACGAAGGGUGCAAACGUUGCUCGGAAUUAUUGGGCGUAAAGCGCACGUAGGCGGCUUUGCAAGUCGGAUGUGAAAUCCCUCGGCUUAACCAAGGAAGUGCAUCCGAAACUGCAGAGCUUGAGUACUUAAGAGGAUCGCGGAAUUCCCGGUGUAGAGGUGAAAUUCGUAGAUAUCGGGAGGAACACCAGUGGCGAAGGCGGCGAUCUGGGAAGAUACUGACGCUGAGGUGCGAAAGCGUGGGGAGCAAACAGGG
This 254-nucleotide ribosomal RNA is filed under the name uncultured bacterium. Its description in RNAcentral is "partial 16S ribosomal RNA". It matches the Rfam family "Bacterial small subunit ribosomal RNA", at positions 524 to 777 of the family's 1533-position model. The record is from RNAcentral.